This 292-nucleotide ribosomal RNA is filed under the name uncultured bacterium. RNAcentral's name for it is "partial 16S ribosomal RNA". It matches the Rfam family "Bacterial small subunit ribosomal RNA", at positions 505 to 796 of the family's 1533-position model. The record is from RNAcentral.
GUGCCAGCCGCCGCGGUAAAACGUAGGAGCCAAGCGUUAUCCGAAUUCACUGGGCGUAAAGCGUGUGCAGGCGGACCAAUAAGUUGGAUGUGAAAUCUCCUGGCUCAACUGGGAGAGGCCGUACAAUACUGUUGGACUAGAGGGCAGCAGAGGGAGGUGGAAUUCCCGGUGUAGUGGUGAAAUGCGUAGAUAUCGGGAGGAACACCAGUGGCGAAAGCGGCCUCCUGGGAUGUACCUGACGCUCAGACACGAAAGCUAGGGGAGCGAACGGGAUUAGAAACCCGUGUAGUCC